GUCUUUUUGAAAAUAAUUUAAAGUCUAAUCUGCCCACUGAUAUAAUUAUUAAAGGGCUGCAGUAUUUUGACUGUACAAAGGUAGCAUAAUCAUUAGUCUCUUAAUUGGUGACUUGUAUGAAAGAUUGGAUGAGAUAUAAACUGUCUCUAAUUAAUUUAUAUAAUUUAAUUUUUUAGUUAAAAAGCUAAAAUAAAUUUAAAAGACGAGAAGACCCUAUAGAGUUUUAUAAUUUUAUAGGUUAUAAUUAUUAAUAGUUAAAAUUAUAAUUUAUGAAAUUAUUUUGUUGGGGUGAUAGAAAAAUUAAAUUAACUUUUUUUAAUAAUUAACAUUAAUUUAUGAAUAUAUGAUCCAUUUUUAGUGAUUAAAAGAAAAAAUUACCUUAGGGAUAACAGCGUAAUUUUUUUUUUUAGUUCAAAUAGGAAAAAAAGUUUGCGACCUCGAUGUUGGAUUAAGAUAAAAUUUAAAUGCAAAAGUUUAAAAUUUUGAUCUGUUCGAUCAUUAAAAUCUUACA
RNAcentral lists this ribosomal RNA (511 nucleotides) under Papilio demoleus (lime butterfly). RNAcentral describes it as "partial 16S ribosomal RNA". The stretch from base 385 to 511 matches the Rfam family "Bacterial large subunit ribosomal RNA", at positions 2473 to 2600 of the family's 2925-position model. Lineage: Eukaryota; Metazoa; Arthropoda; Insecta; Lepidoptera; Papilionidae. The record is from RNAcentral.